Molecule: small RNA, 170 nt
Filed under: Corynebacterium humireducens
Lineage: Bacteria; Bacillati; Actinomycetota; Actinomycetes; Mycobacteriales; Corynebacteriaceae
Description: c-di-AMP sequence
Rfam family: c-di-AMP riboswitch aptamer (ydaO/yuaA leader)
About the family: This family represents a conserved RNA structure found upstream of the ydaO and yuaA genes in Bacillus subtilis and related genes in other bacteria.
Source: RNAcentral
CUGAAAAGAAUGCCUAAUCCCCGUCAGGGGAGCCGGGGAACCAUACAGCGUUUUCUGGGGUUCAUCCUCCGCAAGAGCGCCGCACACCAGAGUGUGGGGCGUGGAGUGGGGGAGGGAAGCUUCCGCUCCCAACCCGUCAGCUAACCCGGUAGGCACAAGGAAGAUCUGGA